This 232-nucleotide ribosomal RNA is filed under the name uncultured bacterium. Its description in RNAcentral is "partial 16S ribosomal RNA". It matches the Rfam family "Bacterial small subunit ribosomal RNA", at positions 796 to 1041 of the family's 1533-position model. The record is from RNAcentral.
CACGCCGUAAACGUUGAGAACUAAGUGUUGGUGAGACCCAGUGCUGAAGCUAACGCAUUAAGUUCUCCGCCUGAGGAGUACGCACGCAAGUGUAAAACUUAAAGGAAUUGACGGGGGCCCGCACAAGCAGUGGAGCAUGUGGUUUAAUUCGUGGCUACGCGAAGAACCUUACCAGGGCUUGACAGGAAACUUAAGACCCUAGAGAUAGGGGGAGAAUAAGGGAAACAGGUGG